Molecule: transfer RNA, 85 nt
Filed under: Sphingomonas sp.
Lineage: Bacteria; Pseudomonadati; Pseudomonadota; Alphaproteobacteria; Sphingomonadales; Sphingomonadaceae
Also listed under: 1 other name
Description: tRNA-Leu
Rfam family: tRNA
About the family: Transfer RNA (tRNA) molecules are approximately 80 nucleotides in length. Their secondary structure includes four short double-helical elements and three loops (D, anti-codon, and T loops). Further hydrogen bonds mediate the characteristic L-shaped molecular structure. tRNAs have two regions of fundamental functional importance: the anti-codon, which is responsible for specific mRNA codon recognition, and the 3' end, to which the tRNAs corresponding amino acid is attached (by aminoacyl-tRNA synthetases). tRNAs cope with the degeneracy of the genetic code in two manners: having more than one tRNA (with a specific anti-codon) for a particular amino acid; and 'wobble' base-pairing, i.e. permitting non-standard base-pairing at the 3rd anti-codon position.
Source: RNAcentral
GCGCGCGUGGCGGAAUUGGUAGACGCGCUGGAUUUAGGUUCCAGUGUCGCAAGACGUGGGGGUUCGAGUCCCUCCGCGCGCACCA